This 1071-nucleotide long non-coding RNA is filed under the name Equus asinus (donkey). RNAcentral's name for it is "lncRNA (ENSEASG00005033477.1)". Lineage: Eukaryota; Metazoa; Chordata; Mammalia; Perissodactyla; Equidae. The record is from RNAcentral.
CUUGGGUUUCACUCCAGGUAGGACCAGCCCGUGCGGGUUUAAGCAGCACAGUGACACGAUCUGCUUUACGACUGCAGGUGACUCACCAGCUGCAGGGAGGAGGCCUUAGGGACAGGCCGCUCUCUUCAUGGGCACGACAGAGCCAGCGCUUGGGGCUGACGAGCGUCUCAGGGGCAAUGCAACGGCUGAAGCCGGGAACAAGAGGGAAAAGGUUCACAUGCAAAAAGAACACCACCGAGUCAGUGAAUAAAGGUUUAAUUAAACGUCUGCAGAACAUGACAUCGCGGCAGCUUCAACCACCAUUAAAUCUGGCGUUCACAACAACGGAGCCACACCAGGAAACGAGACAAAAAUGAGAUUUCCUCCAGUCCCCCAAAUCCCCAAGUAUGCCCAACGAUUGCCAAGAAAUCGCAGCCGACCAUAAAUGCGGAUUUUCUUGCAGCCAGAUCGUUUCAAAGGGGAGAAAAACUUUCAAUUUUUUGAACCAUAAAAUAAGUUUUUUUAACCACGUGAAAUUAGAUCCAAACAAAGCCGAGCAUGAGAGGCCCGAGGCCCCGCGGAGGCCGGCAGUUCAGGUUCAGGCUCCCGCUCCGGGGCCGGGCGCCGCCGGGAGUCCAGGGCUUCGGGCAGAGCCGGAGCGACGGGACGGGACAGCGGGCUCCGCGGCUCUGCGCCCGGGCUGUGAGCGCGGGGCGCGGGCAGGGACAGGCUUGCCCACAGCACGCCCCUCCGGAGCACCGGGCAGACCAGCGCGCCCCGAGCCCGGCGCCCCGUCCGCGGCCCCCGUCCCCCCGCGGCCCUCGCGCCCUGUCCGGGGCCCCCAUCCCCCCGCGGCCCCGGCCCCCCGGUGGCCCUCACAUCCCGUCCGCGGUCCCCGUCCCCCCAGCGGCCCUCACACUCUGUCCGCGGCGCGCUCCCAGAGAACUCCCCCCGCGCGGCCCUCGCGAGGCGAGAGCAUGACUCGAACCAGAGCCCCGGCCCGAGCGCGCCGCGUGGCCCCCGCCCCGUCUCCCCUCAGAAAAGUCAAACGUUCACGACUCCAGAGCCCCUCACAGCAGCACAGGCAACGAU